This 253-nucleotide ribosomal RNA is filed under the name uncultured bacterium. RNAcentral describes it as "partial 16S ribosomal RNA". It matches the Rfam family "Bacterial small subunit ribosomal RNA", at positions 524 to 776 of the family's 1533-position model. The record is from RNAcentral.
UACGGAGGGUGCUAGCGUUGCUCGGAAUUACUGGGCGUAAAGCGUACGCAGGCGGCUUGGUAAGUCGGAUGUGAAAUCCCCAGGCUCAACCUGGGAACUGCAUCCGAAACUACCUCGCUUGAGUUCGGGAGAGGGAAGUGGAAUUCCUGGUGUAGAGGUGAAAUUCGUUGAUAUCAGGAGGAACACCGGCGGCGAAAGCGGCUUCCUGGCCCGAUACUGACGCUCAUGUACGAAAGCGUGGGGAGCAAACAGG